RNAcentral lists this transfer RNA (70 nucleotides) under Rana sp. 8 Hillis & Wilcox, 2005. RNAcentral's name for it is "tRNA-Val". It matches the Rfam family "tRNA". From Rfam's summary of the family: Transfer RNA (tRNA) molecules are approximately 80 nucleotides in length. Lineage: Eukaryota; Metazoa; Chordata; Amphibia; Anura; Ranidae. The record is from RNAcentral.
ACAAAAUGUAGCUUAACUAAAGCCCUUCGCUUACACCGAAGAGAUAUCUGUUUAAACCAGAUCAUUUUGA